This 715-nucleotide ribosomal RNA is filed under the name Bacillus sp. 2C. Its description in RNAcentral is "bacterial SSU rRNA". It matches the Rfam family "Bacterial small subunit ribosomal RNA", at positions 45 to 745 of the family's 1533-position model. Lineage: Bacteria; Bacillati; Bacillota; Bacilli; Caryophanales; Bacillaceae. The record is from RNAcentral.
UGCUAUAAUGCAGUCGAGCGACUGAUUAGAAGCUUGCUUCUAUGACGUUAGCGGCGGACGGGUGAGUAACACGUGGGCAACCUGCCUGUAAGACUGGGAUAACUUCGGGAAACCGAAGCUAAUACCGGAUAGGAUCUUCUCCUUCAUGGGAGAUGAUUGAAAGAUGGUUUCGGCUAUCACUUACAGAUGGGCCCGCGGUGCAUUAGCUAGUUGGUGAGGUAACGGCUCACCAAGGCAACGAUGCAUAGCCGACCUGAGAGGGUGAUCGGCCACACUGGGACUGAGACACGGCCCAGACUCCUACGGGAGGCAGCAGUAGGGAAUCUUCCGCAAUGGACGAAAGUCUGACGGAGCAACGCCGCGUGAGUGAUGAAGGCUUUCGGGUCGUAAAACUCUGUUGUUAGGGAAGAACAAGUACGAGAGUAACUGCUCGUACCUUGACGGUACCUAACCAGAAAGCCACGGCUAACUACGUGCCAGCAGCCGCGGUAAUACGUAGGUGGCAAGCGUUAUCCGGAAUUAUUGGGCGUAAAGCGCGCGCAGGCGGUUUCUUAAGUCUGAUGUGAAAGCCCACGGCUCAACCGUGGAGGGUCAUUGGAAACUGGGGAACUUGAGUGCAGAAGAGAAAAGCGGAAUUCCACGUGUAGCGGUGAAAUGCGUAGAGAUGUGGAAGAACACCAGUUGGCGAAGCGGCUUUUUUGGUCUGUAACUGACG